RNAcentral lists this unclassified non-coding RNA (1184 nucleotides) under Hevea brasiliensis (rubber tree). The record is from RNAcentral. Lineage: Eukaryota; Viridiplantae; Streptophyta; Magnoliopsida; Malpighiales; Euphorbiaceae.
AUAAAUAAAUAAGUAAAUAAAAAUGGCUAAUGAAUUUAAUAUUAACUUUACACUCACAACAAAUUCAAAUCCCACUAUAAAUGACAAAAGAAUACCAAACAUUUAUAAAAAUUUCCAAAUAUUAGCAUCAGGAGAACUGAAAGUCUUUAGUGAGACAUGCACACAUUAUAUACAUAACAAUAGAGAUGCCAAGCUUAUUGGCCCAUAUGGAUACUGUCGCACAUAGAAGUAGGUUUCAAAAUAAGUGAGAAUAGAUCAGGAAAUAUGGAUCAAAAGAAAAGAAAAAUUAAAUUACUAUAUUAAACUACUAUGCAAUUGGCCAAUUUUCUUCUUUUUGGGUUUUGCAAUAUGUUGGAAUCCAUUAGGAUUUGUAUUCUAUUUGUAAUUAUCUUCCUUUUUUGUUAGUGUCCUAGUGCAUCUUGGUUUUCUAGUGUAUCUAGAACUAUUGUGUAUAAUAGGGAGAAGUGUAUAAAGCUACACAACAGAAAUAUAGAGUUUCUCUUCUAAAAUAAUUUCAUCAUGGUAUCAAAGCUUUGCCAUUAAUUCUUGGCGUGAGUUUUCUGCAAACAGCAUUAAGGUUGCUAGGGCAAGCUUCUAGGCAUCAACCACUAAGAAGUUGUAUUACACCACCCCUACCAGAUGAAAGAGCAUCUGCCGAUCGGCCUGUGCCCGGAAAAUCAUCGUCGUCCGACAUAGCGUGUGGUCACACUCUGCCACAAGUUCUACCAUCGAUCCCAUGCGCUGGCGCAUGUUGCCGUUUCUAGGAGUUUUUUCUGGCCAUUUUCUUCUCCGACAAUCUCCCCAUGGUUUUGUGCCUCUGCCUAGCUAGUUUUCCACCUUGGUCUGCACUUUUGAUUAUUGGGUUUAUUUUUCCUCUCUACUGCUACUAUGGCCUUUUUUUUUUCUUUCUGCCUUUUCUUGGCUUGAUUCUUUAAUAUGGCUGAUGGAAAAAAAUAAUUAACUAAAACAAAGAUGAGCACUAUGAGUGAUAACCCUUCGUUACAAAGUAGCCUCGUAAAGCUUGAUGGUAGUAAUUAUCUUGCAUGGUUGAGAUCCUGUUCAUUGUUUAUUGAGGCUAAAGAGCUACAUGGAUAUAUCACUAGAGACAACCAAACCAAAAGCGAGUGGUUCUAUUUAUAGCUAAUGGGAAUCAGAGAAUUCCCUGUUGUCCAUUUGGAUUACGG